This 246-nucleotide ribosomal RNA is filed under the name uncultured bacterium. RNAcentral's name for it is "partial 16S ribosomal RNA". It matches the Rfam family "Bacterial small subunit ribosomal RNA", at positions 796 to 1041 of the family's 1533-position model. The record is from RNAcentral.
CACGCCCUAAACGAUCUUCACUAGCUUUUCGGAGUAUCGACCCUCUGAGAGGCGAAGCUAACGCGUUAAGUGAAGCGCCUGGGAAGUACGGCCGCAAGGCUAAAACUCAAAGGAAUAGACGGGGACUCGCACAAGCGGUGGAUUAUGUGGUUUAAUUCGUAGGUAAACGAAGAACCUUACCAUGUCUUGAAACCUAAGUGAAAGCUCUAAGAAACUAGAGCCCUCGCAAGACUCUUAGGCAGGUGU